GGGGUCGGCCUUGCUCCCCUCACUCCAUGGCCAGCCGCUGCAUCAUCCCCUGCCCUGGGCCACCUGCCCUGGACGUGGGCCACAGUGCCAGAGAGAGGGACCCUUGCAGACCUCAGUCCAUCUGGCAAACACUUCACCAUCGCCCUCUCCAUGAAGCCUUCCGGCCCACCUUCCAGGAUGACGUGAGCUGGUGCCCUUGCUGCGAGGCUGUCUUCCCCCAUCAGCACAAGUGUGAGAUUCCCUCAGGGCAGACCCACAUGCUACUUGGGCCUGGUACAAGUGUCUGAUGUCAGGCUGGGCACUGUGGCUUCACACCUAUAAUCCCAGCACUUUGGGAGGCCGAGGAGGGCGGAUCACCUGAGGUCAGGAGUUCGAGACCAGCCUGGCCAAAUGGUGAAACCCCACCUCUACUAAAAAUACAAAAAUUAGCCGGGCAUGGUGGUGCAUGCCUGUAAUCCCAGUUACUCGGGAGGCUGAGGCAGGAG
Molecule: long non-coding RNA, 485 nt
Filed under: Homo sapiens (human)
Lineage: Eukaryota; Metazoa; Chordata; Mammalia; Primates; Hominidae
Description: HSALNT0278284
Source: RNAcentral